Molecule: ribosomal RNA, 429 nt
Filed under: Gemmatimonadota bacterium
Lineage: Bacteria; Pseudomonadati; Gemmatimonadota
Description: Gemmatimonadetes bacterium partial 16S ribosomal RNA
Rfam family: Bacterial small subunit ribosomal RNA
Source: RNAcentral
UAGGGAAUCUUCGGCAAUGGACGAAAGUCUGACCGAGCAACGCCGCGUGAGUGAAGAAGGGUUUCGGAUCGUAAAACUCUGUUGUGAGAGAAGAAAAAGGACGUGAGUAAAUGAACGUCGCCUGACGGGAUCUAACCAGAAAGCCACGGCGAACUACGUGCCAGCAGACGCGGUAAUACGUAGGUGGCAAGAGUUGUCCGGAUUAAUUGGGCGUAAAGCGAGCGCAGGCGGUUUCUUAAGUCUGAUGUGAAAGCCCCCGGCUCAACCGGGGAGGGUCAUUGGAAACUGGGAGACUUGAGUGCACAAGAGGAGAGUCGAAUUCCAUGUGGAGCGGUUAAGUGCGUAGAUAGAUGGGCGAACACCAGUGGCGAAGGCGGCUCUCUGGUCUGUAACUGACGCUGAGGCUCGAAAGCGUGGGGCGCACACAGG